Molecule: long non-coding RNA, 907 nt
Filed under: Rhinopithecus bieti (black snub-nosed monkey)
Lineage: Eukaryota; Metazoa; Chordata; Mammalia; Primates; Cercopithecidae
Description: lncRNA (ENSRBIG00000045957.1)
Source: RNAcentral
GGAAAAGGCUGCCCAGCAUUGAGACUGGUUUGGCCUGAGAAUCUGAGGCUCUGGCCACCCUGUCUUGGUGGAUUUCAGGGGCCAGCUCUGAGGCUGCAGGUGGUUGUGGACUCUGGCCCGGUGCCGCUAGCGUGUCCAGUACCCACCGCCGCCCUUGCUGCGUGUUGCUUCCAGGCAGUUGUGACUCCUGCCCUGGGAAGCUGAGGCAUCAGAUUCUUUGCUUUGGAAUUUCAGACCCUCCCUCUGUGUUGCCUCCUCCCACCCACAGGUCGCAUCAGCAUGUCGAGCUCUGCAGGUGCCAGCACACUGGAACACAUGCUUGGGUUGGCGGGUGGUUGGAGGAGUGAGCUGUGCUUUUUCAUCCCCACAUCCCCAGCGCCCAGCAUGGAGAAGGGAUGUGAUCAAUAUCUGUUGGAAAUGGAACAAGCCUCAGGAUAAACAGCCCCAUCCUGGGAUGCGCCAUACAGUGGUCAUUGUUCUAAAGGCUCGAUCGGGGAAACUGAGUUUCAAAAGGCCUAAGUCGCGGACCCAGCUGGUCUCUAUCAGGAGCGGCCAGGCGGCUGGGGCAGGUGCUGCUGCUCCCUCCAUCCUCAUUGCAGGGAGUAGGUCAGAGGCGUUGGACCAACCUCGUUGGGGACUGGGGCUCAUAGCUUGUCUUGCUGGCAAGUGGGCUUGAGAGGAGGGAUGUGAAGGGGACAGUGCAGCAUUUUGCUCAGAGCUGGGUGCCCUGCCCAGCCCCACCAGGCCCUGGAGUCACUAUUGGCAGACAGAAGGGACCAUGGCUAUUUAAACUCUAUGCUCAUCCCGGCCCAAACGAUGCUGCACUGAUGCUCAGGUAAAGGGUUGGCUAAGAAGGGGGACAGGCCACCCACAGUGCCACAUGGUGUGGCUUGGACGCACCUGUCAU